UGUUGUCUGUUUGGCUAAAUUCUGGUCUGCAUGCAUGUAGAUUGUUUACCUCUCUCUCAGCGGCGGGUGGUUUGGCCAUCGCGGUAACAGGGAAUGGGCUUUUCUUUACAAAAUCGGGGACCUCAGUCAGCAAAGUGUCGAAUGGGAAACCGAUCAUGGAAAUGGAUGGAGGGCCCUGAGGAAAUUUCAUAUCUGAUGUGCCAUUCAUCAGUCCAGUGCAGAAGUCAUAAAUUAUGCUUCCUAUUACCGGAUCGGUGUAUCCCAGUUACAAUCCCCCCUUUUUUUCCUCCCUUCUCUCUGUUCCUGCUAUCAAGUUUAUCAGUAAAAAAACUUGAAACUGUG
Long non-coding RNA from Gadus morhua (Atlantic cod), 342 nucleotides. RefSeq lists it as uncharacterized. The transcript is spliced from 2 exons. The record is from RefSeq and is a predicted model, not a curated record. Lineage: Eukaryota; Metazoa; Chordata; Actinopteri; Gadiformes; Gadidae.